This 1500-nucleotide long non-coding RNA is filed under the name Malus domestica (apple). RNAcentral describes it as "long non-coding RNA (MDOM_LNC020609)". The record is from RNAcentral. Lineage: Eukaryota; Viridiplantae; Streptophyta; Magnoliopsida; Rosales; Rosaceae.
AAAAUUAUUUGUGUAGCCCAAAAUGGCAAGCCCAAAGGGAGUCAGAGUAGAGGGAGCGGUAACUCUUCAAUAUAACACCAUCAUCUGUAGCUCAAAUCGAAAAAUUGUCUUCAUGAAAAUUGUUCCUUAACGUGGGAACUACAACAUACCCAAAUUUGAGAUCCAUCGGAGUAGUACAACUCCAGACAUUCAGGUAUGAUGAGUAACUACUCAUGAUUUUUCUGUUAACCCGUCAGACUUGUUGUGAGCUUUGAAACUCCAUUUUCUCUUUUUCAGAUCAACAUACUUUCUUCAUCGAAGUUGUUCCUCAUCAUCUCUUCCAUAACAUAUCAAAAAUUCAGAACAAACUAACGGUUGAAUAUUUCCAGAUCUUCGAAACACCGCAGCAGCUUUGAAGCUUGCAGAAAUCUGACCGUCAUGUUUGGAGCUUCAACACUCUAACUUCCGUCGCUCAAAUAGAAAAUUUUCCUUCGUGAAAGUUGUUCAUCUGCUCAAGAACUAUAAGAUGUCCAAAAUUCAGCUCCACUGGAAUUAGCUUCGCACUAUCUUGAUGAAGAGUGUGUGAAGCUUUUAUAUGUUUUGGUGUUGAAAUUUGGUAUUGUAGGUGAAGUUUUGGGGUUGAAGCUUUAUAAGUGAAGCUUUGGUGUUGAAGCUUUAUAGGUGAAGCUUUGGUGUUGAAGCUUUAUAGGUGAAGCUUUGGUGGUGAAGCUUUAUAGGUGAAGCUUUGUGUUUGAAGCUUUAUAGGUGAAGCUUUGGUGUUGAAGCUUUAUAGGUGAAGCUUUAUAGGUGAAGCUUUGGUUGACACCAUAAAUUAAUUGUGCUUCGCACUAUCUUGAUGAACAUAGUGCGAAGCUUUUGAGAUUGAUACUUGUCCUCCAUUGAUGAAGCUUGUGUUGGCAUCAUAAAUUGAUUGUACUUCGCACUAUCUUGAUGAACAUAGUGCGAAGCUUUUGAGAUUGAUAGUUGUCCUCCAUUGAUGAAGCUUUUGUUGGCACCAUAAAUUGAUUGUGCUUCGCACUAUCUUGAUGAACAUAGUGCGAAGCUUUUGAGAUUGAUACUUGUCCUCCAUUGAUGAAGCUUUUGUUGGCACCAUAAAUUGAUUUUGCUUCACACUAUCUUGAUGAAGAUAGUGCAAAGCUUUUGAGGAUUGUAGUUGUGUUUCAUUGAUGAAGCUUUGUUGAAUUUCUCAAUUUCCAAUUUCCUCUUCUUUUUUUUUUUUUUUUUUUUUUUUUUGUUUUUGUUUUUUUUGUUUUGUUUUUGUUUUUGUUUUUUGUUUUUGUUUUUUUUGGGAAAACUAGAAAUUUGAAAAUGUGGGAGAGACAACGUAUACAAAUUUUGCUUCCAUACUGUUAAGCGAGAGAUUGUGAUGCAAGCCACAUCUUGUAGUAGUCGAAGGUUUGGAUGAACCAUAUAAAUUGAAUUUGCUUCGAACAGUCUUGAUCAAAAGCGUUUGAAGCUUUCUAUGAGUUGUAGUGUUUGCAUUGUUACAGAGGAGAAAUG